UGCAUGGCUGUCGUCAGCUCGUGUCGUGAGAUGUUGGGUUAAGUCCCGCAACGAGCGCAACCCUCAUCUUGUGUUGCCAGCACUUCGGGUGGGAACUCACAAGAUACUGCCUGUGGAAAGCAGGAGGAAGGUGAGGACGACGUCAAGUCAUCAUGCCCCUUACGUCCUGGGCUACACACAUGCUACAAUGGCCGGUACAAAGGGCUGCAAAACCGCAAGGUCAAGCGAAUCUCAUAAAACCGGUCUCAGUUCGGAUUGUAGUCUGCAACUCGACUACAUGAAGUUGGAAUUGCUAGUAAACGCAGAUCAGCUACGCUGCGUUGAAUACGUUCCCGGGCCUUGUACACACCGCCCGUCACACCAUGAGAGUCGGAAACACCCAAAGCCAAUGUGCUAACCUUCGGGAAGCAGUUGUCUAAGGUGGAGCUGGCGAUUGGGGUGAAGUCGUAACAAGGUAGCCGUACCGGAAGGUGUGGCUGGAUCACCUCCUUUUUAAGGAG
Molecule: ribosomal RNA, 500 nt
Filed under: Rickettsiales bacterium
Lineage: Bacteria; Pseudomonadati; Pseudomonadota; Alphaproteobacteria; Rickettsiales
Description: bacterial SSU rRNA
Rfam family: Bacterial small subunit ribosomal RNA
Source: RNAcentral